ACCGCGCCCAGAGCCCCGGCCCCCUCUUCUCACCUUCAGGCUGGGCCUCAGGGGGGGCCAGGCCUUCCAGGGUUGUCAGGCUCGUGUGGACGGUGUCUUCAUGGCCACAGCUGGCGGUCCUGCGCUCCCCACCAGCCCGGCAGAGGACCCCGGGGAGCAGUCUGUGUGGAGGUUCCUCGGGUGGCCUUCUGCCUUCCUCACCCCGUUCCUGGCGGGUCUCAGGUUCUGCAGGCUUGGCAGAGGCCAUCUCUGCCGCGACGACGCCUGCGGCCUCGGCCUCGGCCUCGGGAGAGCGGGAUGCAGCAGAGCCAGUCCAUCCCUCCUCCGUCCUCUCCUGGACUGGACCAGGAUGGCGGUGACUCUGUGGACUGCCUCGGGGAGCAUGGUCCUUGGGCUACUAUAGGCUCUUGCAAUCCAAGAGCAAGGUGUGUCUUGCCAUCAGUUUGCGUCCUCUGGGAUUGCUUGCAUCAGCAUCUGGGGGGUUCUGCGUCUCUCCAGGGAGGUCUCUUCCUCAGCCGUCUCUUCUUUGGGAGGUGACGGCAAAUGGGAUCCUUUCCCCGAUGUCUCUCUCCGAGCUCUCGUUCCCAGGGUAGUGAAAGGCAGUCGGUUUCUGUGCCUUCAGGGUGCCUCCUGCGACUUGGCCCCAUUCACUGAGGCGCUCUACCCAUUUUCUGGGAGCGUCUUGAAGGGUCUGCGGGGAUAGGAUCAUGUCAUGUGCAUUGA
Molecule: long non-coding RNA, 723 nt
Organism: Phacochoerus africanus (Common warthog)
Lineage: Eukaryota; Metazoa; Chordata; Mammalia; Artiodactyla; Suidae
Exons: 3
Source: RefSeq, a predicted model, not a curated record